This 481-nucleotide ribosomal RNA is filed under the name uncultured bacterium. RNAcentral's name for it is "partial 16S ribosomal RNA". It matches the Rfam family "Bacterial small subunit ribosomal RNA", at positions 29 to 507 of the family's 1533-position model. The record is from RNAcentral.
ACGCACGCUGGCGGCGUGCUUAACACCUGCCAGUCGAACGCUGAAGCUCAGCUUGCUGGGUGGAUGAGUGGCGAACGGGUGAGUAACACGUGAGUAACCUGCCCUCUUCUUUGGGAUAACGCCCGGAAACGGGUGCUAAUACUGGAUAUUCACUGAUUCUCGCAUGGGGGUUGGUGGAAAGGUUUUUUCUGGUGGGGGAUGGGCUCGCGGCCUAUCAGCUUGUUGGUGGGGUGAUGGCCUACCAAGGCUUUGACGGGUAGCCGGCCUGAGAGGGUGACCGGUCACAUUGGGACUGAGAUACGGCCCAGACUCCUACGGGAGGCAGCAGUGGGGAAUAUUGCACAAUGGGCGAAAGCCUGAUGCAGCGACGCCGCGUGAGGGAUGGAGGCCUUCGGGUUGUAAACCUCUUUCGCUCAUGGUCAAGCCGCAGCUUUGGGUUGUGGUGAGGGUAGUGGGUAAAGAAGCGCCGGCUAACUACGUG